AUGUCUGAGAAAACACAGGCUCCGUCGCAGGAGACGGCGGCCGCCACCAGUGCCGAGGACCACCUUCCUGCACCACCGCCGCCGCCGCCGCCUCCUGAGGAGCAGAAGCAAGGCGGUACUGCCAAAGACGGGAAGGACUCUGCCACGGCAAACUCGCCCCGAGCAGAGGAGAGGAAGCCGGGCACAAGUCGCUGGACCCGCGUCCGGUCGCCGGUGCUGUUGCUUCUCUCCCUCUUCCGCCUCCGCCUCGGGAAGCCGAGCCAGGCGAUCGAGCAGCCUAAGGUGGAGGACGAGCUGGCCGCACCCGCACAGAAGGAGGAAAGUGAAGGGAGCAAGCGCCGUCGCCAUGAAGCCGAGGCCUCAUUGUCGCCGGCGGGGCGGAAGGAGGCGCCGCCCGGGGAACCGCACCAAACCAAGCGCCGCAAGAGCCUGCAGCGCACCGAGAGCGUCCGGCCUCCCGAAGGUGUCGUCGCCGCUGCUGCAGGUGAAGCUGACGCCAACCGAACUCCCAUGAAAAAGAAGCUUAAAAAUGCGUUCGUGCUCGUGAAGGACACCUUGGCGUGGUACGGCCGGCAUCGCUCCCCGAAGAAUGCGGAGAAGCCGGAGGAGGACCAGUCGGCGGCGCCGAAGGAGAAAGGCGGAGAGGCCAAGCCGUCGACGUCGUCACCGCCGGAGGAGGAGGCGGGGACGAAGUCGAAGCAGGACGACAAAACUGAAGAGACCACCAAAACCAAAGAGCCGUCGACGGCAGCGCAAGAGGAGUCUAAGGAGAAGGCGCGCCGGCGGUGGGAACGGGCGGAGGUGCGUCUGGAGAAGAUCCUGGAGGACGCGUGCUCGAGGCUGACGCUCGCCGAGUUCAGGAAGCUCCCGAACCACAAGGAGGAGCCGCACCAGCAGUGCCUCCUCACCUUCUCGGUGUUCCCGCUCGGCGAGCAGGUGAAGAAGCAGGCCGUGACGUACUGGUGGUCCACGCGGUUCAACCUUCCGUCGGAGAGGGCGGGAGGCGCGGACGGGAUCUUCUCGAAGCUCUCCGGCGGCGGCUUCCUGGAGCCGAUCAAGAACGGCAGCACCAGGGUCAUCUACGGCUGCCGGGUGAACCCGCUGGUGCACUGGAUGGCGAAGCGGCUGGCGAGGGAGAAGGAGUGCGCCGACCUUGACGACCCCGGUGGCCCGGCUUUCAGCCAGCCCAAGUCGGAGGUCCUCUGCCUCACGGCGGGCAACCGUGCCCGGAUGCAGAAGCUGCGCGAGGAGGACGGCUUGCGGCCCCGGACCCGGCCCAAGCCCAGCCAAACAAUGGCGCCUCCUCCGGCUACGCAAGCAGUCGGGGCCCCAUCCCAGAAGCUCCAGGAGGACAAUGAUUCGCAGGCCCAGUUGAAACCCAGUCCAUCAAAGGUGCCUCCAGGUGGGCUCCCAUCCCAGGAUCAACAAGAUGAGACCAAACGGGAUGAUGAAAUGUUGGAGACUGCGAUACUACUCAUCGAGUUUGAAAGGAAGAAAGUCAUCCUCAACAUUGAUGCACACGUGUACCGACUCCCGGAGCCCUUGCUCACAAAGCUCGCCGACGGCUUGGAGGUGCUGCAGCUCGGCCGGUGGGGGAACACCGACGACGAGACAUACAUGGAGGUGGAAGCUCUUGAGUCGCUGAGCGCCAUCGGCAAGCUGAAGAACCUCCGGUACCUGAGCGUGCGCGGGUUGUCGCGGCUGACGGAGCUCCCAAGUGAGGUCCGGAGGCUCCGGAAGCUGGCCAUCUUGGACGUGCGCGGGUGCCAGAACCUGGUCAAGCUGCCGUCGUCCACCGUGAAGAAGCUUGUGGGGCUGACCCACCUGGACCUCACCGAGUGCUACAUGCUGGAGCACAUCGGGCGGGGGGUCGCCGCCCUGCCGGAGCUGCGCGUGUUCAAGGGCUUCGUGUUCGGCGUCGGCAAGCGGCGGCGCGACGCGUGCAGGCUGCAGCACCUCGCCAAGCUGAAGAAGCUCUGGAAGCUCAGCGUCAACGUCACCACCGACGCCAACGUGGAGCAGGACGAGAUGAAGCAGCUCGCGAAGCUCGCCGGGCUCCUGUCGCUCACGGUUACGUGGGGCGAGAGGCCGAGCAUAUUGCUGGAUAGUAGCCCGAAAAUUCAGAAGCAGCUGCAAGAUCUCCUUGAUACCUGGACCUGCCUCCGGCUACCGCCGCAGCUCGAUAAGCUGGACGUCCGGUGCUACCCCGAGGGCAAGCUGCCAUUGGCGACGUGGCUCAACGGCAACAAGAAACUCAAGAAGCUCUACGUGAGAGGCGGGGAGGUGAAGGAGCUCGACAUCCCCGGAGACAACGUCAUCGAGACCCUGCGCCUCAGGUACCUCAAAGAGUUCGAGCUGAAAUGGACGACUGACCUGCUCCCUAAGUUGAAUGGGAACACCAUUAAGUGUGUGGAGGUUGUCGAUAAGGAUUCUAAAGUGGUGAAGGCUCAAACCAAAGGUAAGGGUGAGCUGAAUGAGAAGGAGGGGACAGAGAAAGAGAAGCUGAUUCCCAUUAAGAAGCGGAUGAAAAUACCAGUGUGUACCGUGGACGAACAUGGGGUGUGGGUGAGGGAUCUCAAGGAAGAAGACGCCGGCGGCCAAACUCCAGGUAAAGCAGAAGGUGCUACCGGCGUUGCCAAAGCUGAAAAUGGUGUCGACGAUGCUGGCAAAGCGCAAAAAGAAGUGAAAAAGGAAGAGAAGCCAAGCAACCUCAAAGGCACCCAAGGAGAAAAUGAGCAACCAGCACCAGCCAAGGAAGACAAUGGAGCUACUGAUGAGAUAAAAAAAGUUGACGGCGGAGAUAAGAACCAUGAGAUUGUUAAUAAAGAGAACGACAACAAGAGAGAGGCAAAAGAUGAAGAGCACGAUCCUAUGAAGAAGGGUCCGCAAGUACAUGAGCCUAACGUAGAUGGGAAUAAGGUGCAGGCGAGCAAUGAGAACGAGGAACUCAAAGAGGCCGUGGAGAAGCAAGUGUCACCUACUCUCGCUGUCGAUCAGACAGCGGUUCCAAGGAGCGAGGGAGAUAUCAAGAAAGGUGCCGUCACCGAUAAGACCCACAAAGACAAAAUAAGUGAAACCAAAGAAGAGAGGCAAGACGAACCGAGAGAUGCCAAAGGACAAGAUGAGCCACCUAGCAAGCAAGACACAGAAAACAUCGAUGAACCACAAACAGAAGGUGAAGACAAAGGCAAAGACGAUGAGCAGCCCGCCGACGAAGACGGAGGCGGCGGUGGCGGCGAUACAACCACCGGUGAUGCGUCGAGCUCGCAGGCGUCGAAGCCUAAAGAGGAGACCCCUGCCACAGUAACCCCAGCUACUGAAACAACCGCUUCUCCCCCAGCAUUACCGCUUGCAACUACCACCGCUGCUCCGGCUGCCGUGGACACCAAGGAACCUGGGAAGGCUGGCCAAGAUGAUGGACCAGGCACAGGCGCAGCGGUAGAGAAUAAUUGA
RNAcentral lists this ribosomal RNA (3453 nucleotides) under Triticum aestivum (bread wheat). RNAcentral's name for it is "partial small subunit ribosomal RNA". The record is from RNAcentral. Lineage: Eukaryota; Viridiplantae; Streptophyta; Magnoliopsida; Poales; Poaceae.